GAUGAACGCUGGCGGCGUGCUUAACACAUGCAAGUCGAACGAAGCAUUUAAGGCAGCUUACUUCGGUUUGAAGUCUUUUAUGACUGAGUGGCGGACGGGUGAGUAACGCGUGGGUAACCUGCCUCAUACAGGGGGAUAGCAGCUGGAAACGGCUGGUAAUACCGCAUAAGCGCACAGUACCACAUGGUACAGUGUGAAAAACUCCGGUGGUAUGAGAUGGACCCGCGUCUGAUUAGCUUGUUGGCGGGGUAACGGCCCACCAAGGCGACGAUCAGUAGCCGACCUGAGAGGGUGACCGGCCACAUUGGGACUGAGACACGGCCCAGACUCCUACGGGAGGCAGCAGUGGGGAAUAUUGCACAAUGGAGGAAACUCUGAUGCAGCGACGCCGCGUGAGUGAAGAAGUAGUUCGCUAUGUAAAGCUCUAUCAGCAGGGAAGAUAGUGACGGUACCUGACUAAGAAGCUCCGGCUAAAUACGUG
Molecule: ribosomal RNA, 481 nt
Filed under: uncultured bacterium
Lineage: Bacteria
Description: partial 16S ribosomal RNA
Rfam family: Bacterial small subunit ribosomal RNA
Source: RNAcentral